Molecule: ribosomal RNA, 496 nt
Filed under: uncultured bacterium
Lineage: Bacteria
Description: partial 16S ribosomal RNA
Rfam family: Bacterial small subunit ribosomal RNA
Source: RNAcentral
AUGAACGCUGGCGGCGUGCCUAAUACAUGCAAGUCGAGCGAACAGACGAGGAGCUUGCUUCUCUGACGUUAGCGGCGGACGGGUGAGUAACACGUGGAUAACCUACCUAUAAGACUGGGAUAACUUCGGGAAACCGGAGCUAAUACCGGAUAAUAUAUUGAACCGCAUGGUUCAAUAGUGAAAGACGGUUUUGCUGUCACUUAUAGAUGGAUCCGCGCCGCAUUAGCUAGUUGGUAAGGUAACGGCUUACCAAGGCGACGAUGCGUAGCCGACCUGAGAGGGUGAUCGGCCACACUGGAACUGAGACACGGUCCAGACUCCUACGGGAGGCAGCAGUAGGGAAUCUUCCGCAAUGGGCGAAAGCCUGACGGAGCAACGCCGCGUGAGUGAUGAAGGUCUUCGGAUCGUAAAACUCUGUUAUUAGGGAAGAACAAAUGUGUAAGUAACUAUGCACGUCUUGACGGUACCUAAUCAGAAAGCCACGGCUAACUACGUG